CCCUUAGAUGUUCUGGGCCGCACGCGUGCUACACUGAGUGGAUCAGCGGGUCAGGUUGCGCGAAAGCGUUUCCUAAUCUUUAAAUCCGCUCGUGAUGGGGAUUGACGGUUGCAAUUUUCUGUCAUGCACGAGGAAUACCUUGUAAGCGCGGGUCAUCAUCCCGCGCUGAAUACGUCCCUGCCCUUUGUACACACCGCCCGUCGCUCCUACCGAUUGAGUGGUCCGGUGAGGCUUUGGGAUCUGAGCGGAAAGAGCGUUUCGCUGUUUCUGCUCGGAAAACUCAGUCGAACCUUAUCAUUUAGAGGAAGGAGAAGUCGUAACA
This 322-nucleotide ribosomal RNA is filed under the name uncultured eukaryote. Its description in RNAcentral is "partial 18S ribosomal RNA". It matches the Rfam family "Eukaryotic small subunit ribosomal RNA", at positions 1470 to 1796 of the family's 1831-position model. The record is from RNAcentral.